This is a long non-coding RNA of Brassica napus (rape), 10277 nucleotides long. RefSeq lists it as uncharacterized. NCBI's taxonomy places the organism in Eukaryota, Viridiplantae, Streptophyta, Magnoliopsida, Brassicales, Brassicaceae. The record is from RefSeq and is a predicted model, not a curated record. The transcript is spliced from 2 exons.
AUGUAGUAGUUUCUUAAAAAAAAAUCAAAAUUCGUUUUUCUUCAUAAAAGCUCACAAAAGUUGGUUUUUGGUUUUUCUUCAUAAAUUGGUUAAACUUUUCAAAAACUAGUUUCACUAAAUUUUAGGGAAUCUAUUUAUUGAAAAUCUUGAUUGGCAACUCAAAUGGUGUUUAUAAAAACAAAAACUAAAACCAAAAACUUGAUUGGAUGAAAAAUGGUUUCUACAAAAGCAAAAACCAAAAACUAAAGCAAAAACCACAAACAAUCAACUUCAAAAUGAGCUCUCAGUUACAACCUCCCAGCCAAGUUUAGUUGGAACUACGCUAUUGCAAUAUUAUUCGUCGAGCGGCUGAGUUCACCAUCAGUGACGUUUUCCACUGCCUCCAUGCCCACGUACGUCAGAUCACUUACCUCCAAAUACGGCAACACCGUUUACAUGAACAUCAGACUAUGCCAAUUUGCCAAAGCUCCACUACAAACGCUACAUAUGUACAACUCAAAAAUGGAAUUUGAGAACGAUAAAAGAGAGGCACAGUAGACAGAAAGGUUCAAGGAACAUUUCUAGAGAGAAUUGGAAAAAUGAGGGACUUUGAAGUUCAGUUUGUCUCAAUAGAGCUUUUGAUGUUUUUGGUCAUUUUUGACAUGUUUUAUCAUUCUGUAAUAGGAAAAGUAGUAAAUUAAAAUUUUAAAAUAUAAAAAAAUAAUAAAAACUAUUAGAUACAUAAGUAUGACUAUUUAUAUGCUUUAAUUUUUUUUUUAAAUAGUAAAAUUAUAUUUUAUUUUAUGUCUUAUCUGAGCAUAGAAUACUCAUUAUGUCCAUCUACUUAGUUUAGAAAAUUGGAUACUAAGUAUUGUACACAUAUCUAUCGUUGGUAUAUAAAGUAAACAAAACAUUCUUAUAUAUUCUACCUUACCUAUAAUUUGUUCGGUUUUAUUCUAGCAAGAUAUCGUUAAUCUACCUGAAGCUUGAUAACUCUACACCUAGGGAAUAAUAGAUUUGUCACCCACUAUGCAGUGUUCUACUCUACGUAGGAUACAUAUUAUAGCCAAAUCACGAAAAUAUGGAAACUUUCAUAUUUUGGUUAAUGUAUUCCGUAAAUCUACAUGAAAUCUACCAUAAAUCUCGCAUAGUAUCUUUUCUCCCACGUUUUUACCUUUUAAGUAUUAAAUCAGUUACUAAGUAUUAGUAUUUGUAAUUCAGAUUAAUAUAUUAAUUUAAAGGUAUUAUGGUAUUACAAGGAAUUUAAAUCCUAUUUUCUAAAUAAUCUUCUAAAAGUUCUACUUUGGACAAACUCAAGUUCUAACUAUCCCAUUUUUUCCAUUUUCAUAUUUCUAUUACAAUAAUGCUAAGAAGGCUUUCACCACCUCCAGCUAUCGGCCAACAAUUUGUGUGACAGUAGAACAUUUUUUAUUCUUUUUUUUUGUCAACCGGUGCGCCGAUGCCAUCGCUCGUAGUGUCACAAGAGAUCAUCGCUAUGCUUCGUAUAUUGAGAAAGGUGGCCCUUAUUGGUUUCUUCCUAUGAUUCAUGCAGAUGCUGUUGGCACGGUUAAUGAGUACUAAUGGAAAGCGUGCGUCUGGUUUUCAUCUUCUCUGAUCCAUUUCAUUUCAUUCCCAACGGAGAUGGAUGUGAGCAAGGGAGAUGAUGUUGAGUUUUGGGUUUUUUUUAAUUUUGGAGUUUGGGGCCUGUUGGUUCCACCAAACUCUGUCUGUUUCGACUAUGUUACUCUUUCUUAUGAACUGGCGACAAAGCGUAAAAAAAAAAAAAAAAAAAAAAAGGCCCAAAUGGGCAUACUACAAAGGAGUUACAUACAUCCCAAUUCUCAUUAAUACAAACUCGACCAAACCAUAAACCCAAUAAUAUUAGACCCAAUUUAUUGACCCAAUAUUUCCUUCGAGUUAUUACACGCGUCUCUACGAAGUAAGUCUUCAACACGCGUCCUUUUCUGUGUUUACAUGAGAUUAUAGCCAAAAUAGGAUGACACGUGUCCCUGAACACCACGUGUGGGAUGAGAAAUCUGAGACGCAACCUCACCGGCGAACCGCCGUCUUCCUGAGCUUUGUCUCCGGGAACUAUUUGAAACUCCUUCGCUUCUUAUCUUUCGUUCAACCGUCACUUUAGUUAGAACCACCAUCAACGCCGCCGGAUAAUAAACCUGGGAAUACUCAGUUGAUCUAAUAGAAUAUUUUACCGGACCACCUUCGAUAUAGGGAACAUGCUAAUUCAUCUAGAUCUCCAUCAGAACCAACCAAAAUCAAUCCAACAUCACAUAUUCCUUUCCAUCUAGGAUACUUUACCCAUAAACCGAUUUAGCGGCUCCAACAUAAGAGAGUAAAGAUUGAUUCCUUUUGGAAAGGAGAAAGUGCUAUCCGAGAGAGAAGAGGAAAGUCUUCUUAAGCAAACGGGAUUUUGCUGACAAACUGCGAAAGAUAAGGAUUACGGUAUUUACACCGAUCCCUUUCGAAGAACAUGGAAACGUCCUUGAAACUUUGCUUCGACUGAAAUCGGAUACACCACAAAAGUCGCCACUGGGAAGACUAGAUCCGCUAACCGGGAUAAAAAAGAUUUGCCGAGCGAAAGUAUCUACAACAAAAAACAAAAGAUAAAAGGGGUUGGUGACCGGCGGCGCCGCCACCGGCCACCGGAAUUGAUUUUCUUUGAUGAAAGUUCUAGAGAAAUCAGAGGAAAGGAAAGAGAGAGAAGGGUUUUUGCGUAUUUUCGGACUUUUUUUAUUCUAUUCUUUUGUUAUUCAUAGAAAAUAUAUAGUUUGACUAAGUCACCACCCGUUUACGUAACAACUAAUAAAAUAUAUUAUUUAUCUACUUCCAUUAAUAUGUCAAUAAAUACACUUCAACAAUUUACAUUUCGUAGAUGUAACCUCUUUUUUGGUUAAACCAAAGAUUGUAACUUAAAGUUUAAUACUAGUUUUGAAUCUUUUUCAUGUUCUUAUAGCAUGAUUAGUACUAAUAUUGGUUAACACUAACAUAUUUAUCUAUAUAUGUUCAUACUCCAACUCAAAUUUGGUAUUACGUAUAUGAAAAAAAUAAUAUUUUGUAAUAUUAAUUUAGCAACGCAUUAGCAAUAUUUUUAUUUAAAUUAUCACUACAACAAAACAUAGGAUUUAUGACGAACGGUAUGUUAUUAAUUCGUCGUAAAUGAAGUGUUACAACGAAUAAACAAUGAUAUCAAAAUAGUCAUAAAACACCCGUUGAAAAAGUUUUGUCUUAAAUUUCAGGCACAUCGAUUCGUCGUCAAAAUCAUCCUUAACCUACGAGGAAAGGGUUUGCCAUAAAUUACUAGGCUUCAUUGUAAAGUCCUCGUAAAUAUUCAAAGUGAACUCGUCGUUUAAGUUGUGUCAACACGACGAGUUUAUAAGGAAGUUGAUGUUAGUUCCUAAUAAAUAUUUACGACAAAUUUACAUGUACUUCCUCGUAUAUUCCUUGUAAAAUUUUAUGAGAAAUUUACAUCUACAUCCACGUAAAAUAUAUGUAAAAAGUUAUGAGGAAUUAUCAUGUACUUCAUUGUAAGGUAUUCAUGUUUUUCUCGGAAAAUUGAAUUUUUGUUUUAAAAAAAAAUUAAAAUAACCAAAAUUUAAAAAUUAUUAAAUAAUUAAAUUUGUUAAAUAAUUAAAAUUAUUUAGUAAUUAAAUUUUAAAUAAUAGAAGUUAUUAAAAUAUAAAUAUUAUUAAAUAAUUAAAAUUAUAUACAAAAAUAUUCAAAUACAUAAUAUAAAAAAAAAAACUGAAAAUAAAGCUAGCGGAGGACGUCGUCAUCUUGGAACUAGUCUCUGGUGAUCGUUCUCUCUAACUAAGCUGCCUCCUUAUCCGCGGAUCAGGAAGGUAGAUCUGGAAUCCCGAGUACUACCCAUCUAUUCCACAACAUCCUCUGCAUCUGCGGAUUUCUGUCCGCCAUAAGGUCGAGAAGACAUUCAAAGGACUCCGUGCGAGCUUGCAUAGAAUCCAAGUCAGACCGCAUCCGGGAAGACUCUUCUUCCCGUCUCUGGGAAAAAUCGAUGUUGACCAUGGAAUAUCGCUAAUAUUCUUAGCGUCCGCCCCUUUUUAUGGACAACCUGUAAAAGAAAAUAAAAAAAAUACUUAAAUAAUAAAAUUAUUAAAAUACAAAAAAGGUUAAGUAAUAAAUAAAAAAUCAUGAAAUUGUAUAUUACCUCUGAAAAUUUUGUCCAUGGACAUUUGGACGGGCUACCAAUCUGGAGACUGCUGCAUCAGCUGGGUCAUUUUGCAAUCUGAGCAGACACGCCAUUGUGUAUCUUCUCUGACAUAGGAUCCACGAAAAGACUGCCUUGUGAGUGUGUAGCCCAAAAAUCUCAGAAAGCGAUGAUAGCUCUCCGCCUUUCUUUGCGGCCUAAAAAAUAAAAACAAACACCUGAGUGGCAUAUUUUUGGCAUGAAGUGUGAACCAUUGACAAAUGUCCAUGCUCAUCACUCGUCGAACGAGAAGUGGAGCACCGCUGCGAUUCGGACUGAGUGGGAUUUAGUCCAUUCCAUACAUCUUUUAUGAGAGAGGAGGCUUUGCUUCAUAGCCCCAGCUCCAAAAUGACCUUCCAGUUGGAGACGGUGUUGCAUAGGCACGUCUUCUCCUUCAAUACAAUUUUUUCCUUAAUCUUCUCGUUAAUCCCAAUGGACCAAUUCUAUUUUUCUUGAGAAUGAAUAUUAGAAAAAAAUAUAUUAAAAUAUAUAGUAUACUAAUUAAAAAUUUAACUGUUUAAAUUUUAUUUCUUACUAACCGCCAAACACUUAAACCAAGUGGUCUUAAUGUACUCCAGUGUCAGGGUCCAAUUAGGAUGUGUCUCUAUGAAAUAGCCUUUGACCGUGUCAAAAUCACUCUGUUGGACAUGUCCGUCUACCCCAAACCUGGAAAAUAAUAAUAAAUAAGUUAAACAAAUUUAUCGUAAAAAUAUAUUAUUUAAAUCAUAGUAAUAGUUUUUUAUAAAAAAAUAUUAUGUUACAAUAAGUUUCAUGUGGUAGAUCGGGAUCUAAGACAUCUAAACCUUCUCAUCCCAGCUGGGCGGAAAGAUCUUCGACGGUAUAAUGAGAGUAUAGUGCAUCAGGCGACAACAACAAAUCAUGAUGUACUCCCGCUGCUGGGGGAGGAAGAGCACGGUCUGGAGUAACAUGAUCAUGAGGAGCAUCGUUUGUAACCACAUAAGGAGCAUCGUUUGUAACCACAUGAGGAGCGAGUGGAGGUGCAAAGGGAGGAACCGGUGCAAAGGGAGGAACCGGAGGUGCAAGUGGAUGUGUCAGUCAUAGCAAUUAUGAGAUUUUGGGACAAAAUCUGGAGCCGUAGAAGGACCACAUGAACUAGAUGUGGGAUCUCAUGUGCUGAAUGUCUCACUAUAAUGUGGUGGUGGACGCUUUCUACGAACCAUCUAAAAAAAUUCAAAUUAGAAAAUUAUAUAUAGAAAUUGAAAUCCAAUUCCACAACUUAAUCUCUAUGAAUUCCACCUAAACUUAACUAGCUAAAAAAACUAACCCUUUUUGCCGAUGGAAACGAGUGGGAGUGAGUUUCAGGGGAACUGAGUGAAAUGAGUCCAAGUAUAGAUAUAGAAAAUAGGGUUCCUCGUACGGUCAUCGUAAAUUUAUGAUAACCUAGCUUGUGUUUUUUCUUUACGACAAAUUAACAACAUCUGGCGUUGUCAUUUUACGAGACAUUUACGACGAAUACCAUUUACGAAAAGGUUCCAUGUCUAGUGUUUCUUGUUAUGUGGACUUUGCGACGAAUACCAUUUACGACGAAUUUUUGAGGAACACUUCUGAAUCCCUAAACUUAAAUCCCUAAACCCCAAACCACAUAAUACUUCAUCUAUUUAUACAUGAUUGUUAUAACUUCAACACACAUUUAUUACAUCUUAAUUCAUCAUUAGAGUCUGAAAUCAUUUAUAAAUGAAAUAUAUUAAUGUUUUCAGAAAGAAACAUUAAUUAAUAUUAGUUAUGACAAUAUUACAUUAUUCAGAUUCAUCGUUUAAGUUAUCAUCACAAUAUUGUACAUCACUUUCAUCAAACUCGUCUUUAUUUUCGUAAUCGGUCUCAUCGGCAGGAAGAUUUCAUAUUCACAGUUAUGUAAAUCAAUAAGAAGGAUGUCAUCGGUUUGUUGUUCAUGUACCUCUACUGCAUUGACACAAAUGCUUGUUGUAAAGGGGUCAUCUCCACAUAUAAUUCUAUCUCGAGGUGUAAUUUUUAUUGCAGAAAACCAAGUAAUUCUGGAAUCUUUGAUAUGGGGAUAUGAGAUGAAGCUAACUUGGUCUGCUUGAGAAGCUAAUAUGAAAGACUCAAAUUUGUUGUAUCUUCGUCUUAAAUUAACAUCAACAACUCUAAAUUUGACGAGGUUGAACCAUUCACAUUUGAAGAGGAUGCAUUUCAUCUUACUAACCAGGGAAUUCUACUUCUAUCUUCUCUUGCAAGAUCCCAUAGAAAUUCGUUUCACCUUUCACACAUUCUGUAAUUCCUCGUUUCCCAACGUUUACAUACUCGUAAGUAUAAAAAGUAAAGCCACAUUUGAAAUACAUAGGUAAUGUGGUGAUCUUUGCAACCGGAUCUUGAACGAAUUUGUGAAGCCAUGUGGGAUAAUAUGGAUCAUCAUAAUCAACCUAGUUACAAAAAUAACACAAAAUUUUGAUUAAUACAAAAAUAACACAAACAUUCAAUUAAUUGAUAUUAUUAAUUCAAAUAUGUAAGUACAUGAGUCCUUAACAACUUAACAAAGUGUAGAUCUUUUGGUUUGUUCACCUCAUCUGUGGAUAUACGUGGUAUCACUUAUUUCACUUUAGCAGUAAAUAAGUUACAAAAUAACAGAAUAAGAUUAAUAUAUAUAUAUAUAUAUGAACAAAUUGAGUAGACUUUUAACCCUUACCUUUCAAAUAAACACUUCAUAUUAUCCUCACAACUGAUAAAAACAUAGGUGUGGGCACUGUGGGAGUCUUCUUGACUUGAACAGCAAACAUGUUUCAAUUUUCCACCUAAACGCCCGAUUUGGGAAAAGAUGUUUGGAACACCAUCAACUACAUAUGUUGGCGCAAUACCACCAUUAUCAUAUCUAUGUUUAACUCGUUUUUGGGUAUGAACUUUUGGGACAAAGAAAUAGGAUAUAAAGUGCGAUGUUCUUCAAUCAAACUCCCAGCAACUGUGGAACCUUCCACCUUUGCAAGAUUUUUUGUUUUUUCCUUUCAAAUGCCUCAUAGAUCGCUCGUAUGGGUACAUCCACCGAAAAUGAGCAGGUCCACCUUGUUAUAUCUCAUAUGGAAGGUGGACUACGAGAUGUUCCAUGACAUAAAAAACAGAGGAAAUAUAUUCUCUAAGUUGCACAAUAAAAUCAUAAUAUUUGUCAUUGAGUUGUUGGAUGACAUCUUCAAUUAACGUACGUGUGCUUAGAUCCCUGAAAAAUGCUUCAUUAACUUGUAUGGUGCAAAAGUAAAUACAUUAGUAGUUAGUUACUAAGUAAGAAACAUGUUAUUAAUUGGUAUUAAAAAUUAAAAAAAAAUAUUUUACCUGCAAGCGGUUCAUGUAUAAUUGUUGGAACCAGCUCAGCAAAUGCAAAUGGAAGUUGACUUUGCAUAAACACAUGACAAUCAUGACUCGUCAUCCAUGUGAAUUAUUGAUCUUGUUCAACACAUCUAGAGAGAUUUGAAACGUAACCAUCGGAAACUUGACUUAUGAUGCCACCUUGUUUAACAUCGUUGUAUUUGCUUCUGGAGACAGUCUGAAUAUAAGAACUGGAACUUUCCAUUGUUGUUGAUAUGUAACUCCCUUCUUGAGAAAAUAUCAGAUAAGUCCAACCUUGAAUUUUUGUUGUCUUUUGUUUUUCCUUGGACGUUAAAUAUUGUGUUUAUGAUGUUGUCGAAAAAAUCAUUCUCUAUAUGGAUCACAUCAAGGUUGGAUGCAAAAGCAGGUCCUUCUGGUAUGGCAUCUCCCAAAAUAUACUCUUCUUGUGCCAAUUGUGAUGAACUCCAUAAUAAUCAAACAUAUUUCCAUGAAUAUGCCAAUUACCCCCACGAUAAGUAGUUUUUUCAGCACCUUAGUAAUCAAUAUGCUCUUCAAUUUGUUCUCAACUUAAAUAUGGAGGAGGAGUGUCCCAUACAACUCUUUUGUUCCUAAACAAUGUCUUGUUUCUUCAGUACGGAUGGUUAACAUGGAGAAAUUAGUGAUGACAAUUAAAACAUGUCUUCCUACCAUGCUUCAGUUGAAAUUCAUAUGUCAUAGCAAAAAAAUAUGGACAAGAUAACCUCUCAUGUGAUAGCCCAGCCAGAUAGUGUCCCAUAAGCCGGAAAGUCGCUUAUGGUCCACAUAAGAACUGCUCGCAUCGUAAAUUUUGUUUUUGUUGAACAAUCAUACAUGCUGGCUCCUAUUGACCAUAACUCCUUCAACUUAUCUAUCAAUGUUUGUAGAAAAAUAUCUAGUGACCGCUUUAGAUGCUUCUGACUAGUGAAUAAUAUUCUCAUGAAUAGAAAUUUUCGUUCCAUGCACAACUCUGGUGGUAGGUUGUACAGCGUAAGAAUGACUUGGCCACAACGAAUAUUGUCUCGCAGAUAUUCCAAAUUGGCUGAAUCCAUAUGUGCAUAACUAAAGAUAAACAUUUCAAAUAUUUCUAGGGAAAUCUAGGGUGAUUCAUAUUGAAAUGUUUUCAUGGUCUUGCAUCUGAUGGAUGAGUGACCUCUCCAUCCUUCUAGACAUGGUCAGCACGCUAUCUUCUCGCUUCAGGAAUCCUUUGGGAUUUAUAUAAUCUUUCCAACAUGUCUGUAAUUGGUAGGUACCAUAUCCUUUGGUAUGGUACCCUAUUCUGCACACGUCCUUGCGGUUUGAAUUGUGGCUUUUUGCCUAAGUAACACUCUUGUUCCUUGUCAUCGUCCCUCAAGUAGAUUAUGUAAUAAUCGAUGCAAACAUCAAUCAUCUCCGAAGGCAACCCAAGACUAUAAACCAAUUUAUGAAUCUAGUAAAAAGAAUCGGCUGACACGUUGUCCUCUGACAAAUACUCUUUAAACAACUCGGCCCAUGCAUACAUGCAAUUCUCAUAUUAAUUAUGAUUAGUUUUAAUAUUCAUCAACCCACCUGAUAGAGACAAUUUAGAGACACCUUCUCUACAACCAGUGUAGAUUAGUUAAUUCGCAACAUCUAACAUUUCAUUAAAAAAAUUGCAUCUAAAUUAGGUUCUUCAAAAUUUUCAGUUUCAUCAGAUAUUGUUGUAGUAGUUUCUAAAGAUGCAUAUGUUACCAUGUCGUGAACUCUACCAUGAUCAACCAUUUUCUCCUCAUUUUCAUUAUUCAAAUGAUUUGGUUCCUGAUCACUAUUACCAACAUUUUAAAAUUACUAUUACUACUACUAUAUUUACUAAGUUGGUCCAUACAGUUUUACUACGGGAAAUUUUGUAUUCUUUCACUUCUGACAAGGACAGAACAUCUUAUUGUUUUCAUGUGUGAUCGGUAUAAAACCAGCUUAGAACAUGAAUAUCUCCAGCCCAUUGAGAAACUCCUUCGUCACUCUCGUUUCAGAAUAUUUGUGCGUAGACAUCUAACUUCGUAACUCGUAUAUAUUGCCAUCACUAGACAUUUUUUUCCUUCACAUCUCUAUGUUCUUUUUUUGUGUCUUCCAUGCUCAAAAGAAUAUCAUAUAUAUGAAAUUUUUUUCAUUAGUAGGUAAAAAAUUUUAGGCUCAAGAAAAUGUCAUAUAUAUAUAUGUAUAUGAAAUUUUCUUCAAUGGUAGGUAAGAAUUUAACAAUAGAUUUAUAACGAAAAGGUUACAAGUCUUUUACUUCAGUAUAACAACGACUUUAUGAAUAAAUAAUAAGUUAGAUAUAGUCCACUAAAACUCGUUUUCACCAAAUAUUUCAAUUUUACUCGUCGUCUUUAAACAAAUGUAAAGUGUGUCGUCAUUAAAUACUCUUCAUUUUAGAGCGACUUUAAAAAAAAUCUUUUCACUCAUCGUAAAAUCGUCGUAAAUUAACAUGUGUUUUACUAUGAAUAUUCGUUCUCGUAAAUUUAUUUCUGCUUUACAACGAGUAAGUUUUUCCACGUAGACUACUCAUUAAAAAUCAUCGUUAAUUUACAACGACCAUUUUCUCCUUGUAAAUUUUAGUAAUAAAUGAUAUUUUUUCUUCUAGCGUAAAUUAUUUCAUCACUUAUUAAAUAGGGAUAUUUGCCAAAACUAACCCACAACUUGAUUUUAACCCCAAACCUAUACCCAAACUUGAAUCAAAUGCAAAACUAACCUAAAAGCCUAGUGAAAUUACAGCUCAGCCCCUUGUGACAAAACAAAAAAACAGAAGCCAUUUUUA